UUUUUUUUUUUUUUUUUUUUUCUGCUAAUUGCUGAUGUGAACUUCCAGUUCAGUAAUUACAGUAUUAAGUAGCUACAUCACAGGAAAUAAGAAAAAACCCUAUUUUUCUGCCAAUAAAGUUGCUACAUGCAAACGGUGGUGUUAUGCUAAGCUGAUGCCAUGUGUUGCUAAUAGGCUGAACCUUCCUAUGCUUUUUGCCUUCACAAAAAGUCAUUUCUUUACUCAUUGGCCAGUGAAGUGCUAGCAGGCUUUGAGCUGAGAGGACCAACUCCUUAAGUGUAGCUAAGCUAUGUUUGCUCCAUCUUCUUUUUGUCCUCAGUUGGGAGAGUGUUGCAACCCCAGCUGUUCUCCCAGUGAAAGAUUUGUUAAGGAUUUGAAUAGGUAUGGUUUCAAUCUCUAUUUUUUAGAGACGGAAUUACAAUUCUGAACCUUUGAGAGUACUUAAAAGUUGUAUUUCAGCUAUCUUCAAAAGAUGGUAACUAAUGGCUGAAUGGUUUUAGAGGAAGCAUAUAAAAUGCAGAGGUACCAGGUUCAAGCCCUUUGCUGGAUUUCAAAUAUGCUCUGCAGGAAGUUCCUAAUUGAGAUGAAAAGAGUGGAUUCCACACAUGCCUAACUGGAUUUUCCUGAAAUUAACAUGCUUUGUAUCCAACACAUCUGUGUUCCAGGUUAGAGACCUGCUGAUACAUUCUUCAGCCACUAAAAUGCUGAUUAAUUCACCCCUUCUUCACCUUACAAAUAGGAAGAAGAGUGAAUGGGUUGACCAUUUAAAGAAUACAAAUUGUGUAGGAAGAGUGCAAGGAAACAUCUUUUGUUUUUAUGUCCUAUGCCCUUAUUACACACCACUUACAACUCAAUUUCCUGUUUUCAAAUAUGAUUUUUGCAGGACUUGCUAGUGUUUAAAGCAACAGGAUUACACUUAGAAUAAAGCAGAGACUCUAAAGCUAGCAGGUUAUUGCUGAAAAUAGCUCCCAGAGAAGACUGACAUGAACCCUGUUCUGAAUGAGCACAGCUCCAGUAAAAUGUUUCCAGUGGAGAAAAGGCCUUGUUUCACAGGAAGUACAGAACUACAACUAUGAAGGCUGUAGUGUGGACUUUCCUUUUCCUAAAUCUGGGAAAUCUGUCUCUGAAUAUGGCAUCUACUUCCUGCUGAGGCACCUCAGUAACUAUCAGCUAUCUGAUUGUUAAGCUUUGAAGCUCAAUAGCGUUCUUGCUAACACACUGUGGUUCUUGUACUAAAUGGGGCUUUUAUAGCCGAUUUCUGGAUGAGUGAGCUGCCUUCAGUAAUGUUCGAACUAUUAUUUUUAUUUUGUUUUUUUUUUUCCUUUGCCGUGCUUGAAAACAAUGGAAUUGUUUUGAAAGCAAUUGUCUUGAAAGCAAUGCUGCUUGAAGGAAGGACAAAUCUACAUGGAAUCCAUCUCUUUUACAACUGAGAAAUGAAGGAUAUUUUUAAGCCAUUUAAAACGACAUUUCAUGGAUCAUUUAGGUUGGAAAAAGACUUUGAAGGUCAUAAAGUCCAACAAUUAACUCAGCACUGCCAAGUCCCAGUCUAAAUCAUCUCACUCUGCACCACAAGGCUUUUUAAAACCUCUAGGGAUGAUAACUCCACUGCUUCCCUGGGCAGUCUGUUCCACUGCUUCACAACCCCUUUGGGGGAAAAAUUCUCAAAAGUUUCAAAGUUUCAAAAUAAUGCAGAUGGAGUUUUAGAAAAAGAAGAUGCUGCUACUCCCUGUAGGCUAGCCUAUGCUUUUCUUCUCCUACCAUAAAUCUCAGUGGCUUUUCUUCGGUACAUAACUACUACUUUGGGGAGAAAAAGUGGAUAUUGGCAAUAAUGCCUAGAUGAACAGUACUUAAUAAAAUGACCCAGAGAUGAUGCCAACUUAACUUACAACACAUUUGAAUUGCAUAGUUAAUAUCCUUCUGCACCAUGUAUUAAUCCUGUAAAGCUAUUUAAGUGUUUGGUUCCUGCUUCUAUUCUUUCCUGAUGACAGAUCUACUUUUUCAUCUUAUCUCCCUUCUAUAUUUGAAGUCCUUCAUGCUGCUUUUCUCAGAAAAAUAACCUGUCAGUCCCCGCUGUGGAGCUCCCACACCACUUCAGAAACACUGUGGCAGCAAGUCUGAUUCAGAUUUUUGCUCUGCCUCAAAGCAGAGCCAGGCAAACACAAAAACGUUCUGCAGUCUUCAAAAGCAGCUAUUUUAAGGUUGUCCUUCCUUUUUUUCCCUUUUUAAAGAAUAACACAUAACUUGCCUCAGGGAAAAGGGCAAUAUAUAACCUGUUAAAAAAAAAAUCCAUCUUUUCUCAGAAAAUCAACUCAUUGAUGCACUAUAAACUAGAAUAGAAAGUGUUCUAAUCAGAGCAAUCUUCAAAAGGAGUACUUGGAAUUUAAUGGUGUUUGAAAAUGGAAUUUUUGUGAGUUUUCUUAGUGCUUGGCCUCAAGCCUCCUCUCAAAACUCAAUAUAAAUGCAUUACCUGCAGCUGCUUUAACUGCAGAGAGACACAGCUAUAUAUGUUUGUUUGCCUAAACAUGUCUUGUAUUCUGGAAGAACUUACUAGAUCAAGUUAUUUAUCCCAGUUUUCAAAGGUAAAUACUUGCAAAAUGCUCUUCUAGAUAACAAUUUUUGUUGUGUAUCUUAAAAAAAAAAAAGGCAAAACCUCACAACCUAUAAUGUAAAAUCAUUAAAUGCCUACUCAUAGAGAAGAGAAAGAGAAUGGUAAAACUGUGAACCUCUCUACUACAAUCCAGAGCCAUAGAGUCUCUGAGACUGCAAGGUGAAGUGAAUAGGAUAUUUUUUGUAAUGAAAUUAAGUUUUUAUGCACCUGAGCCCUCCACCUUGAAUACUCUGACAUUUUUUGGCCACAUUUUAGCCUUGGAUAUUGACAGGUAGCAAGGACAGCAGAGAAGGACCUUCUACCAAAUGUUCCUCAAUGAGAGCAAGAGAAGCCUGUGCUUUCUUAUUUCUGGAUGAGAGUUAUAUAGUUAGCUAUUUGAAAUGCUACUUUUAAUUCAGAGAUAUCACUGGAUUUCUGUUCAAGAGUCAGGGCAGCACUUGAUACAUAACCCCCUCAUUCCUUGCAGAAGUGGACUGGCACAGCUAGUGCUGGUAUAUUUUUCUUUGUACUUUCCAGAAAAGGUUAAAUAUGGAAUAGAGGGGCAGACUUCAAAAUGUAUUAUGUGCUAUCAAAUAAAGUCUUCAUUCACAAUAACCUAUUUAAUUUGUUACAUGAACAAUUUUGACAUGUAUUUCAUAGAACUGGAAAUGGAACAUACUGCUGCUGUCUCUGCCCCAAGUGCCAUGAUGAAAUCUGAUCAUUUUCUCACAUCAUGUUUUCCUCUCUUGAAGCAAUCUAGGUCACUGAGUCACCUAGCCAGCUGUACACAUGAUUUCUUAAAAGCUUCAAACAUGACAAUUCAAAUUAUUAUACUCUAGCUGCUUUGCUGUAAACAGAUGAAGUCCAGCUAAGCAUUAGGCAAUGAUUUAAAGAUACUACAUUUAAUUCUUUUAAUCCAUCCAUUAUGCCUCCUGGAAAUGCAUGAUGAAACAGGAUGGCACAAGAAGAGGAAAAAUAUACACAUCAGGAGUAUAUAGUUAUAGAACUCUUGAAAGAUCUCACUGAAAUCCUCAGAGAGUCAGUAACAACUCCAGAAGAGAACUUCAAACUUACAUCUUAGUUCUCUAAAAGGUCACCCUAACAGCAGCCACUGAAGCCCAGAGAGUCUGUUACUGUGCAGAGGGACCACUUCAUGGUAAAUGCCUAAAAACUGAAGACCAUGCUUCAGUGUACAACUGCAGAAAUACUUGUAAGAAAAUGUUAAAAACCAUCUGAUAGCUUACAGUAAUGGUAAAUAAUACCGUCCCUUCUCAGUAAAAUGGGACUCAGAGAAAGAAUUUAAUUCCAACCAUGUAAGAUACCAGCAUUUGCUGAGAACUGACUGUAAGAACUAUAAAAAGUUUUUGAAUGAACUGCAUGAACAUUAGGGCAACCCUCUGUUGCUGACUUUAGCAUCAUACAUGUGAGAGAGUUUACAGUAACUAGAAAUGCUUCCCCUAGGAUUCCUGUCCUAGGAACCUCCAUCCGGGACCUGGCCUCUCUGGGAACACAAGGCUUGCAAUAGUAGAAAAAACAUCUCUCACUUCAGGUCACACACUUUAAUACAGUGUUACACAUAUAGCAAAUUUUAAAGGAAAUAAAUUAGUUGAAAUGA
RNAcentral lists this long non-coding RNA (4202 nucleotides) under Taeniopygia guttata (zebra finch). RNAcentral's name for it is "lncRNA (ENSTGUG00000024140.1)". Lineage: Eukaryota; Metazoa; Chordata; Aves; Passeriformes; Estrildidae. The record is from RNAcentral.